This is a small nuclear RNA of Cebus imitator (Panamanian white-faced capuchin), 105 nucleotides long. The record is from RefSeq and is a predicted model, not a curated record. NCBI's taxonomy places the organism in Eukaryota, Metazoa, Chordata, Mammalia, Primates, Cebidae.
GCUCACAUAAGCAGAGCAUAUGCUAAAAUUGGAACAAUACAGAGAAGAUUAGUAUGGCCUCUGCACAAGCAUGACAUGUAAAUUUUUGAAUUAUUACAUAUUAGG